This 77-nucleotide small RNA is filed under the name Xanthomonas oryzae. RNAcentral's name for it is "sX9". It matches the Rfam family "Xanthomonas sRNA sX9". The record is from RNAcentral. RNAcentral also lists the same sequence under 1 other name. Lineage: Bacteria; Pseudomonadati; Pseudomonadota; Gammaproteobacteria; Lysobacterales; Lysobacteraceae.
AUGUACCACGCGUCCACUGCGGUUGUGAGCGCGCCGUCCGCACCCACCUGACGAGUGCUCGCUACGUUUUGUUCGCC